RNAcentral lists this ribosomal RNA (372 nucleotides) under uncultured bacterium. RNAcentral's name for it is "bacterial SSU rRNA". It matches the Rfam family "Bacterial small subunit ribosomal RNA", at positions 527 to 896 of the family's 1533-position model. The record is from RNAcentral.
GUAGGGUGNGAGCGUUGUCCGGAAUUAUUGGGCGUAAAGGGCUCGUAGGCGGUCUGUUGCGUCGGGAGUGAAAACUCAGGGCUUAACCCUGAGCCUGCUUCCGAUACGGGCAGACUAGAGGUAUGCAGGGGAGAACGGAAUUCCUGGUGUAGCGGUGAAAUGCGCAGAUAUCAGGAGGAACACCGGUGGCGAAGGCGGUUCUCUGGGCAUUACCUGACGCUGAGGAGCGAAAGUGUGGGGAGCGAACAGGAUUAGAUACCCUGGUAGUCCACACCGUAAACGUUGGGCGCUAGGUGUGGGACUCAUUCCACGAGUUCCGUGCCGCAGCUAACGCAUUAAGCGCCCCGCCUGGGGGGUACGGCCGCAAGGCUA